Molecule: unclassified non-coding RNA, 801 nt
Filed under: Hevea brasiliensis (rubber tree)
Lineage: Eukaryota; Viridiplantae; Streptophyta; Magnoliopsida; Malpighiales; Euphorbiaceae
Source: RNAcentral
GCAAAAAGAAACAUGUCAACUAAAAUAGCCUUGUCAGCAGCGUCCUUUCUACCAUUAGGAACAUCAAUAAGUUUAACACCUGCAUAUGGGGAUUUUAAUUCCUUCCCAAGGCGACUUAGAGAGGGCUGCCAGAGAACUGGUGUUAAACUUAUUGAUGUUCCUAAUGGUAGAAAGGAUGCUGCUGACAAAGCUAUUUUAGUUGACAUGUUUCUUUUUGCCCUUGACAACCCACCACCUUCUUCCAUCAUGCUGAUAUCUGGGGAUGUUGAUUUUGCUCCAGCACUCCACAUUCUUGGUCAACGUGGAUAUACUGUGAUCCUUGUUAUCCCUUCUGGUGUGGGUGUCUCAUCUGCUUUGAGCAAUGCUGGUAAGUUUGUUUGGGACUGGCCUAGUGUGGCUCGUGGGGAAGGCUUUGUACCCCCUUCAAAGGGUUUAAUGCCUCCUUAUGCUGGACCAGCUGACAUGGCUGGGUAUUUCAUGGGGUGUCAUAUAAACGACAACCUUGAUGGUCAAAAUGAAGAAGAGGCAAUUGUAUACAGAGGAAUCUCCCAAAGCUAUUAUAAUUCAAGAGAUUUUUCUGUAGUGUCACGGUCUUUGUCUGAAUACAACUGUAGUUCUUCUAUAAAUAUGCCUUGUUUCCCCACAAGUAUGAGGUCACAGAGUCUCCCAUCUGGUUUGAAUGAAGUUUCAGCUGGUCCUGUUUUAUGUGAUGACCAAUAUCAUUCUACCAUGUGGGUACAGCCUGGGGAUAUAAAUGGUCUGAAGUUACAGAUGGUGAAGUUGCUUGAACUUUCAGGUGGA